Molecule: ribosomal RNA, 497 nt
Filed under: uncultured bacterium
Lineage: Bacteria
Description: partial 16S ribosomal RNA
Rfam family: Bacterial small subunit ribosomal RNA
Source: RNAcentral
GAUGAACGCUGGCGGCGUGCCUAAUACAUGCAAGUCGAGCGAACAGACGAGGAGCUUGCUCCUCUGACGUUAGCGGCGGACGGGUGAGUAACACGUGGAUAACCUACCUAUAAGACUGGGAUAACUUCGGGAAACCGGAGCUAAUACCGGAUAAUAUAUUGAACCGCAUGGUUCAAUAGUGAAAGACGGUUUUGCUGUCACUUAUAGAUGUAUCCGCGCCGCAUUAGCUAGUUGGUAAGGUAACGGCUUACCAAGGCAACGAUGCGUAGCCGACCUGAGAGGGUGAUCGGCCACACUGGAACUGAGACACGGUCCAGACUCCUACGGGAGGCAGCAGUAGGGAAUAUUCCGCAAUGGGCGAAAGCCUGACGGAGCAACGCCGCGUGAGUGAUGAAGGUCUUCGGAUCGUAAAACUCUGUUAUUAGGGAAGAACAAAUGUGUAAGUAACUAUGCACGUCUUGACGGUACCUACUCAGAAAGCCACGGCUAACUACGUG